GCCGAUGUGGCGAAAUGGCAGACGCAACAGACUCAAAAUCUGUCGGGAGCAAUCCCGUGUCGGUUCGACCCCGACCAUCGGCACCA
RNAcentral lists this transfer RNA (86 nucleotides) under Clostridia bacterium. Its description in RNAcentral is "tRNA-Leu". It matches the Rfam family "tRNA". Rfam says of the family: Transfer RNA (tRNA) molecules are approximately 80 nucleotides in length. Lineage: Bacteria; Bacillati; Bacillota; Clostridia. The record is from RNAcentral.